CCUACGGGUGGCUGCAGUGGGGAAUAUUGGGCAAUGGGCGCAAGCCUGACCCAGCAACGCCACGUGAAGGAAGAAGGCUCUCGGGUUGUAAACCUCCUUUAUCAGGGACGAAGCAAGUGACGGUACCUGACGAAUAAGCCACGGCUAACUACGUGCCAGCAGCCGCGGUAAUACGUAGGUGGCAAGCGUUAUCCGGAUUUACUGGGUGUAAAGGGCGUGUAGGCGGGAGUGCAAGUCAGAUGUGAAAACUAUGGGCUCAACCCAUAGCCUGCAUUUGAAACUGUACUUCUUGAGUGCUGGAGAGGCAAUCGGAAUGCCGUGUGUAGCGGUGAAAUGCGUAGAUAUACGGAGGAACACCAGUGGCGAAGGCGGAUUGCUGGACAGUAACUGACGCUGAGGCGCGAAAGCGUGGGGAGCAAACAGGAUUAGAUACCCGAGUAGUC
RNAcentral lists this ribosomal RNA (443 nucleotides) under uncultured bacterium. RNAcentral's name for it is "partial 16S ribosomal RNA". It matches the Rfam family "Bacterial small subunit ribosomal RNA", at positions 338 to 795 of the family's 1533-position model. The record is from RNAcentral.